Non-coding RNA from Trichonephila inaurata madagascariensis, 73 nucleotides. The record is from the annotation of a GenBank genome assembly. NCBI's taxonomy places the organism in Eukaryota, Metazoa, Arthropoda, Arachnida, Araneae, Nephilidae.
GGGGCAGUGGCGCAACGGACAACGUGCCUGACUACGGAUCAGGAUAUUCCAGGUUCAAAUGCUGGCUGGCUCG